UUUUUGGGGGUUGCGUUGAAUUAAUAAUGUUGGUAAUUACAUUAAAUUAAUUUUAUAUGUAAUUUGAAAUUAAAUCCCAAUGUUAGUGGGUUCAAAAUAAAAUUCAAGUUGUAAUUACUUAAAGAAAUUGAAUAUGUAACUUAUUUUGUCUCCACUGUAACUUUUGAUUUCAAGUUCCCUCCCCUACCCACUUAACUAGCCCGGGCAAAUUCAUAUAUGGUGCAUUGCUUGGUGGACUUGCAAGCUUAUGUAAAAGACAUUUCAAGAUAAAGGAGGAAUUCAAGAGUUCAACCACUGUAAGCCUUGAAUGGCUACACUUGACCCCAAAACUGAUGGACGUCAUUUUUUCAAGGGGAGGAGCUAAAGGAGUGAGAAUCAGGCAGAUCAAGUACAUGCUUCUUGAGCACAAUUCAACUGAAAUACACAGAGAAGUAGCCAUCUGCUGCCUUAUCACAUACCUUGGAGAGAAGGAAGAGGACCUUUUCAUGGAGUUUGGUGACAAUUUAAGGCCAACCUUGAAAGGCAGGUGAUGAAAACUGCCAUCAUCGGUGACCGGUACACCCCUGGAUCUGACCAUAAGACUGCAACCAUUGUGGUGCGGGAACAAAAAUCCUGGAGGGCCAGAAUUUCCCAAGGUGCUGUGUGUUACUCAUGGGCAUAAUAUAUGCUCUCAAUCUGUUCCUUGACCUUGAUGGAACCAGCAUUAUGUUAAAGAUGCUGACUCUGUUUCAAAAAUUGUUAACUGUUUUGAAUCCUGUAUGUGUAACAUUGAUCUUAAAGGUGUUUGCUGCAUUGUGUAAAAGAAAGAUGCAUGAUCUUGUAAAGUUUGGUAGGCACUGAAAGUUGACAUUUAUUGAACGCUUGCUUGGAAGUAGUACUGUAACAAA
Long non-coding RNA from Oreochromis niloticus (Nile tilapia), 887 nucleotides. RefSeq lists it as uncharacterized. The record is from RefSeq and is a predicted model, not a curated record. The transcript has 4 exons. Lineage: Eukaryota; Metazoa; Chordata; Actinopteri; Cichliformes; Cichlidae.